RNAcentral lists this long non-coding RNA (1095 nucleotides) under Salmo salar (Atlantic salmon). RNAcentral's name for it is "lncRNA (ENSSSAG00000104001.1)". The record is from RNAcentral. Lineage: Eukaryota; Metazoa; Chordata; Actinopteri; Salmoniformes; Salmonidae.
CGUUGUUGACAGUUGUACAUAUGCGCACACCAAUGGCAUUCGGUUAAAUGCGAGGCCACAUACAGGUACUCAGUGCUGAGGCGGAUGGAGGCUGAGGGGCCAGGAGGGACGGAGGAGGAGGAGGACAGGCCCGGGCCCUACACACUGGGGGAGGACUCUGAUGAGGAUAUGUUGGAGUGAAUCAUCACUCGGAUGACACUUCUCUGCGCUCAGGUUAGCUGAGGUCGACUGUGAAGUGUGUGUGUGUGCGUGCGUGCGUGCAUUCGCUAAGCUGUUAACCUCUUCUUCUCCUUGCACCCCUUCCAGUCUACAUGCUCCCGAAAUCCAGUUACAACAGUGCUAUUAUCCACUGAUGCUCGUUUUAAUUCAGGGAAUUGUUGUCAUGACAUGCGUACCUUAUUCUACACAUCUGGACUGUUAAUAAUAUUUUUAAUUGUAUAACCGAUACCAAUGGCUAGCAGAACAAAAUAAUCAUUCUUCACAAGUAUAGAAGCUGUGUCUGCACUGUAUACCGCAAUCAAAUCUUUCUAUUUGUUACUGACCUCUUCAAGCACUGUUUCAGUUGUUGAGUAUUGUUGUGUCAUCUUUAAGUAUUAUUCACACAUUUAAUGUAAAGUAUGUUAUACUAUGUUAACUUAACACAGCUGCCCAGGUUUUGUCUUUAAGACAAGCUGUUGUGCUUACGUCCUUUAAUUAUUGUUCUUGUUUGUCAUUUAGCAGACGCUCUUAUCCAGAGCGACUUACAGUAGUGAGUGUGUGUUUUUCGUUUUUUAUUUUCUUCUUUAUAUUAUAUAAACAUGUUGUAUAAAUGUAUUUCCCCCUGAGCAAAAAUGAAUAUGUCAAUCAAUCAAAUGUAUUUAUAAAGCCCUUCUUACAUCAGCUGAUGUCACAAAGUUCUGUACAGAAACCCAGUCUAAAACCCCAAACAGCAAGCAAUGCAGGUGUAGAAGCACGUGUUUGCAGUUCUGUUUUGUGUUUGCCGUUCUGCACUUUGACAUUAAAUAAUGUACAGUACCGCUACUGUGAGCUUCUUCAGUGCUUGUAAAUAAAGAGACACUCUGCUCAUCUGGCAUGAGGGACACGUCAUUAUCAACC